This 498-nucleotide ribosomal RNA is filed under the name uncultured bacterium. RNAcentral describes it as "partial 16S ribosomal RNA". It matches the Rfam family "Bacterial small subunit ribosomal RNA", at positions 28 to 508 of the family's 1533-position model. The record is from RNAcentral.
GAUGAACGCUGGCGGCGUGCCUAAUACAUGCAAGUCGAGCGGAAGGACGCGACUCUUGCUUCUCUGUUGUUAGCGGCGGGGGGGUGAGUAACACGUGGAUACCCUACCUAUAAGACUGGGAUAACUUCGGGAAACGGUAGCUAAUACGGGAUAAUAUUUUGAACCGCAUGGUUCAAAAGUGAAAGACGGUCUUGCUGUCACUUAUAGAUGGAUCCGCGCUGCUUUGGCUAGUUGGUACGGUCACGGAUUACGAAGGCAAGGAUGCAUAGCCGACAUGAGAGGGUGGUCGGCCACACUGGGAGUGUGACACGGCCCAGACUGCUACGGGAAGGAGCAGUAGGGCAACGUGCGCAAGGGGCGGAAGCUUUACGAAGCAACGCCGAGGGCGUGUGGAAGGACUCCGGGUCGUAAAACACGGUUAUUAGGUAAGAACAUACGUGUAAGUAAGAGUGAGCAUCAGUACGGGACCUAAGCAGAAAGCCACGGCCAACUUAGUGC